RNAcentral lists this ribosomal RNA (865 nucleotides) under uncultured bacterium. Its description in RNAcentral is "bacterial SSU rRNA". It matches the Rfam family "Bacterial small subunit ribosomal RNA", at positions 636 to 1501 of the family's 1533-position model. The record is from RNAcentral.
CCAAGCUAGAGUGCAGGAGAGGAAGUUGGAAUUCCCGGUGUAGCGGUGAAAUGCGUAGAGAUCGGGAGGAAUACCAGUGGCGAAGGCGGCCUUCUGGCCUGACACUGACACUGAGGUGCGAAAGCGUGGGUAGCAAACAGGAUUAGAUACCCUGGUAGUCCACGCCGUAAACGAUGUCGACUAGCCGUUGGGACCUUUAAGGACUUAGUGGCGCAGUUAACGCGAUAAGUCGACCGCCUGGGGAGUACGGCCGCAAGGUUAAAACUCAAAUGAAUUGACGGGGGCCCGCACAAGCGGUGGAGCAUGUGGUUUAAUUCGAUGCAACGCGAAGAACCUUACCUACCCUUGACAUCCUGCGAACCCGGAAGAGAUUCCGGGGUGCCUUCGGGAACGCAGUGACAGGUGCUGCAUGGCUGUCGUCAGCUCGUGUUGUGAAAUGUUGGGUUAAGUCCCGUAACGAGCGCAACCCUUGUCCUUAUUUGCCAGCGAUUCGGUCGGGAACUCUAAGGAGACUGCCGGUGACAAACCGGAGGAAGGUGGGGACGACGUCAAGUCAUCAUGGCCCUUACGGGUAGGGCUACACACGUGCUACAAUGGCCGGUACAAAGGGUUGCGAGACCGCGAGGUGGAGCGAAUCCCAUAAAGCCGGCCUCAGUCCGGAUCGGAGUCUGCAACUCGACUCCGUGAAGUCGGAAUCGCUAGUAAUCGUGAAUCAGAAUGUCACGGUGAAUACGUUCCCGGGCCUUGUACACACCGCCCGUCACACCAUGGGAGUGGACUGCACCAGAAGUGGUUAGCUUAACCUUCGGGAGAGCGAUCACCACGGUGUGGUUCAUGACUGGGGUGAAGUCGUAACAAGGUAACC